RNAcentral lists this ribosomal RNA (548 nucleotides) under uncultured Glomeromycotina. RNAcentral's name for it is "SSU rRNA". It matches the Rfam family "Eukaryotic small subunit ribosomal RNA", at positions 548 to 1098 of the family's 1831-position model. Lineage: Eukaryota; Fungi; Glomeromycota. The record is from RNAcentral.
UUGGAGGGCAAGUCUGGUGCCAGCAGCCGCGGUAAUUCCAGCUCCAAUAGCGUAUAUUAAAGUUGUUGCAGUUAAAAAGCUCGUAGUUGAAUUUCGGGAUCAAAUUGUCGGUCGUGCCUCGGUACGCACUGGUAUUAUUGGUUCCUACCUUCUGAAGAACCGCGAUGUCAUUAAUUUGGUGUCGUGGGGAAUCAGGACUGUUACUUUGAAAAAAUUAGAGUGUUUAAAGCAGGCUUACGCUUGAAUACAUUAGCAUGGAAUAAUGAAAUAGGACGUUUGAUUCUAUUUUGUUGGUUUCUAGGAUUGACGUAAUGAUUAAUAGGGAUAGUUGGGGGCAUUAGUAUUCAAUUGUCAGAGGUGAAAUUCUUGGAUUUAUUGAAGACUAACUACUGCGAAAGCAUUUGCCAAGGAUGUUUUCAUUAAUCAAGAACGAAAGUUAGGGGAUCGAAGGCGAUCAGAUACCGUCGUAGUCUUAACCAUAAACUAUGCCGACUAGGGAUCGGAUGAUGUUAAUUUUUUAAUGACUCAUUCGGCGCCUUACGGGAAAC